This is a long non-coding RNA of Gallus gallus (chicken), 756 nucleotides long. Lineage: Eukaryota; Metazoa; Chordata; Aves; Galliformes; Phasianidae. The record is from Ensembl.
GGUAAUGACAGUACAUCAGAGCUGAAGUGCAGGGCUACGGAAAACAUUCAGACUUCUUUUUUCCCAGCUGGAAUACACAAAGCUUUCUGAAAGGACCCUCUGGGUGGCAUUUCUCUAAUGAACAGUGAACUUGCUUUCCUAAGCUGUGUCAGAUUGUUACAAAGAAGACAAAGGAACUGUGCAUGCCUGAGUCAAGUUGAUGGCAGUGGACUCUUCAGCGGUGAGUGACAGCAGAACAAGGUUCAACAGACAGAAACUAGAACGCAGGAUGUUCUGUACUAACACAGGGAAGAACUUUACUGUGAAGGUGAUAGAGCUCUGAAACAGGCUGCCCAGAGAAGUUAUGGAGACUCCUUCUCCGGAGAUUUUCAAUACCUUCCUGGACACCUACCAGUACAACUCUCUGCAGGGACCCUGCUUUAGCAGAGGGUUGAACUUAAUAAUCUCCAGAGAUCCCUUCCAAUUCCUACAGUUCUGUCAUUCUGUGUGAUUCACUUCUAAUGCUGUACCCUUAGGUCAGCAGCCUGAUUUAAAUGUUUCUGCUUCUUCAUCUCUAAUUAUGAAAUCAAUUUACUUUAUUAUGAGGAUAUCACUGCUUUACAGCUACUAAUUUUGAUAUUUUUAUAUUCCAAAGUUCAAGUUUGUUUUUGCCUGUGGUACAUGCAGAUGGCUGUUUUGUGGAUGUGAAAUACUGAAAAGCUCAUAGAGCCAAAACACAGCAGGAGUCUUUAGGAAAUAGGCCAACAGACAGGGCAA